CGAGGGUGCGAGCGUUAAUCGGAAUUACUGGGCGUAAAGCGCACGUAGGCGGCUUGGUAUGUCGGAUGUGAAAUCCCCGGGCUCAACCUGGGAACUGCAUCCGAAACUGCCUUGCUCGAGUAUGGGAGAGGGAAGCGGAAUUUCCGGUGUAGCGGUGAAAUGCGUAGAUAUCGGAAGGAACAUCAGUGGCGAAGGCGGCUUCCUGGACCAAUACUGACGCUCAGGUGCGAAAGCGUGGGGAGCAAACAGGAUUAGAUACCCGAGUAGUCC
This 270-nucleotide ribosomal RNA is filed under the name uncultured archaeon. Its description in RNAcentral is "partial 16S ribosomal RNA". It matches the Rfam family "Bacterial small subunit ribosomal RNA", at positions 527 to 796 of the family's 1533-position model. The record is from RNAcentral.